Molecule: ribosomal RNA, 397 nt
Filed under: uncultured bacterium
Lineage: Bacteria
Description: partial 16S ribosomal RNA
Rfam family: Bacterial small subunit ribosomal RNA
Source: RNAcentral
AUACGUAGGGGGCGAGCGUUGUCCGGAAUGAUUGGGCGUAAAGGGCGCGUAGGCGGCCCGGUAAGUCUGGAGUGAAAGUCCUGUUUUUAAGAUGGGAAUUGAUUUGGAUACUGUCGGGCUUGAGUGCAGGAGAGGUAAGUGGAAUUCCCAGUGUAGCGGGGAAAUGCGUAGAGAUUGGGAGGAACACCAGUGGCGAAGGCGAAUUACUGGACUGUAACUGACGCUGAGGCGCGAAAGUGUGGGGAGCAAACAGGAUUAGAUACCCUGGUAGUCCACACUGUAAACGAUGAAUGCUAGGUGUAGGGGGUAUCGAGCCCUUCUGUGCCGCAGUCAACACAAUAAGCAUACCGCCUGGGGAGUACGGCCGCAAGGUUGAAACUCAAAUGAAUUGACGGGG